Helicoverpa armigera (cotton bollworm) is the source of this 2734-nucleotide long non-coding RNA. RefSeq lists it as uncharacterized. The transcript is spliced from 7 exons. The record is from RefSeq and is a predicted model, not a curated record. NCBI's taxonomy places the organism in Eukaryota, Metazoa, Arthropoda, Insecta, Lepidoptera, Noctuidae.
GUUCGUAUAGAAAAACUAUGUACGGAGGCUGGUUAAGAUAUUUAGUUUUGAAAAUUAACGAGAGGUGGCGCUUUGUUCAAUUUUGUAUAUUUUUUUUCGUUAGCAACAUUAUAAUGUGGUGUUGCUAUCGACUGUUUGUCAGUUCUUUAUACGCAAAAUACUUACGUCUCUAACUUUGAAAUAAGCUUUUUCUUCAGAAAAAAAAGAGGAAUGCAAACUUCAAAGCAUCUAAAUCAUAAACAAAAUAUGUCUACACAUGUGAUCUACACUUACUUGUUGUUACUUGAUAUUUAUUAAGGUAGAAAAUCGCUUUGGUUUUUUCCAAGUGGUUUUGUAAAUUUUUGUGUGUAAUGGAACGCAUAUAUGUCAUGGCGUCCGGCCGGUACCCUUUAAAAGUUGUUGAUUGUGUUGUGUGGUGCGUUCUCCUGUUUUUCCGUAUAUUUGUGGCUUUUCCGACAACGUUUGCUUUCCAAAGGACACCGAAAUCUCCGCUUUAAUUUUACACCUGUGCGCACUACUUUGGACUCCGAGUUUUCUUUACGAUUUGGAUUUGACGAUAUGGGAUCUCCGUUCAGAUGUUGUGUUCGUUAUUGCACUACAACUCGCAGUGAUGAUUGCAAUGUUAUUUUGCAUUCAUUUCCCAACCCCGAUAAGGAAGAGGACAGAUUUAGAUCUUGGGUCUACUCAAUUGGGGGAGAUAUUCUGGUUUUGGAUAACCAAUUUGUAUUCAAAACAGAAAAAUAUGCCACAAGCACUUCGAAAGUAAAUACCAUACAAGAAGUUCAAGAUUAAGUGCUAAUGCAGUUCCUACUUUGCAUUUAAAAGGCAUACCUUGUAAAAGACCAUUAUCAGAUGUUACCAAUGUGACCAGUUACAAUCCAAUAUUUGCUCAACCUUCAACAUCCACAGCAGGUCCACUUCAUUCUGGUGAACCAAUAUCUAUCAAGACCAGUGAACUUGAGAAGCUAGCAGAAGCAGAUUUAGGCAAACCUGUAAAGACUUCAGGAGUAAAACAUAUUUCCCUAAAACAAGCAGCUGCAAUGACAAAAAAUGUACCAAACUUAGCGAAUCUGCAAAAAACAAUCAAGAAGUUACAACAAAAGAAAGAAAGUUACGCCACACGACUGAAAAGAGCCUUAAGACUUUCUGAAAAUACCACUUUUCAGAAGUGCUUACAAAAAUUUUCGACUUUGGCAGCCUUGUUUACAGUCAUGCAAUUUCGCGAAAUUUCAAAAGGAAAAAUGGGAAGAAGGUUCACAAAGGACGAAAAAUCAUGGCUCUCAGUUUGUACAAACAGGGCCCAAAAGCAUAUAGAUGGCUCAGUAAAAUAUUUAUUUUACCAUCUCCUAUCACUCUGAGUCGUCUGAUUUCCUGUGCUGGUCUAAGACCAGGAAUCAACAAAAGGAUAUUUAACCAGUUGAAGAAAAGAGCCCAAAAAAUGACAGAAAAUGAAAAGUUAUGCAUUCUUCUGUUCGAUGAAAUAUCUAUUACACCCCAUUAUGACUAUAAUAGAAAACGAGAUGCCAUUACGGGAUUUAUUAAUAAUGGAAAACAAACAAACAGGAACAUAGCGGAUCAUGCACUUGUUUUAUGUUAAGAGGGUUUGUAAAUAAUUACAAACAACCAUUGGCUUACACAUUUUGCAAAGGAACAACUUCCAAAGGAGAUUUGAAACUUUUAAUAAAAAUAUUAUUUCCGAAUUGCAACAGUGUGGGUUUUAUGUGCUUGCAACGGUCUGUGACCAAGGGACUACAAAUGUUAGCGCUAUAAACGAAUUGAUAGAAGAAAGAAGAGUUGAUUAUAUAAGAAAAAAUCUAAAUUUUAAGCAUCAAAUAUUUGAAGUCAAUGGCAAGGAAAUAAUACCUAUUUUUGACACCCCCCACUUAAUAAAAGGGAUUAGGAAUAAUUUAAUUACCAAGAAUUUGAAGUGCAUUAUAGAAGAUGAAGUUAAAAUUGCGAAGUGGGACCACCUAAUUAAACUUCAUGAGGAAAAUCCUUCUUAUAAAGGUAUACGAUUAAUUAAAAAUCUUACAGAAGCCCACAUUGAUCCAAAGAAAAUCCCCAAGAUGAAGGUUAAGAUGGCAACUCAAAUAUUUAGUCAAACAGUCGCUACCAGUAUGGGAUACCUAGCAGAUAAAAGAAUACUUCCUUCGGAGUGCAAAGAUACCGCAGACGUAUUGAUGUUUUUCGAUCAACUUUUCGACUCUAUGAAUGGCAGUUUUGAAAAUUCAAAAAAAAGAAGCGGUAAAGUGCUGUUAAAAUCAGUCACCCCAAAAUCUGAUCACAGUAAGGUAUGGGCGAGGGCAAAAAAAGUUUUAAAAUCUAUGAAGUUUAUUGGUAGAGGAGGAAGGGAAGGUAGUGUGCCAUCAAUUACAAACUGGUUACGUACGCUGGAAAAUAUUGAAGUUUUAAAAAAUAAGGCAUUCAAUGAAUAUAAUAUAAAAUCAUUCUGGAUGAGACACUUAAAUCAAGAUCCAUUAGAGAAUUUUUUUGGCUGUAUACGGUCUCAUGGAUACAGAAAUAUAUCACCAACCCCAUCUGGCUUUGAGUCAGCUUUUGCAAGCUUAUUAAUAAAUAAUUUAUCAAGUAGUCAUUCUGUAGGGUCAAAUUGUGAAGAAGAUGACUGUAAAAUUUUUCAAUCAAUGGACUACUUAUUAAAAAAGGAGGAUAUUAAUGAACUCACAGAAAUAAAUGAAAUAGAUAUCGAUGAUAUUAAUUGCGAAAUUAUAGAUUU